RNAcentral lists this ribosomal RNA (253 nucleotides) under uncultured bacterium. RNAcentral's name for it is "partial 16S ribosomal RNA". It matches the Rfam family "Bacterial small subunit ribosomal RNA", at positions 524 to 776 of the family's 1533-position model. The record is from RNAcentral.
UACGUAGGGGGCAAGCGUUAUCCGGAUUCACUGGGCGUAAAGGGAGCGCAGGCGGCACGGCAAGUCUGGUGUGAAAACCCGGGGCUCAACCCCGGGACUGCAUUGGAAACUGCCGGGCUGGAGUGUCGGAGGGGUAAGCGGAAUUCCUAGUGUAGCGGUGAAACGCGUAGAUAUUAGGAGGAACACCAGUGGCGAAGGCGGCUUACUGGACGAUGACUGACGCUGAGGCUCGAAAGCGUGGGGAGCAAACAGG